This 2511-nucleotide long non-coding RNA is filed under the name Homo sapiens (human). RNAcentral's name for it is "HSALNT0384364". Lineage: Eukaryota; Metazoa; Chordata; Mammalia; Primates; Hominidae. The record is from RNAcentral.
GCUGAGGGGAUAUGACCAAAGACUAUAUCCAGUGCAGUCCAAAUUACACAAGGCAAAAUACAAAGACAAUGCCAAGAUGGGUAGAAAAGUUAGGAUAUAGGUUAGGAUGGAAGAUGUGACCUGUGAGAUUCAAUGUUGGCAGAGAAAUCAUCUGUGUCAAAUUCCACAAACCAGAAUUCACAAAGUUGCUGAGCCCACACAUGUAGGAUGAAAGAGAGUAAUGAAAACUAAUGACAGGAAACCAGCACCCUGACAAACAGAGUGGACCCCUGUGAAUUCCUUUUGUAGCAGACUCCAUUGGGUAACAACACUGGAGUGCAUUUUCUGCUUCCUCCAGUUUAAGUAAAUCCUACUUUUGUGCAGGUAACAAUGUGCCUGAUGCUGCAAAUGAAUCAUAACUGCUGUAGCCAAUCGCUGAGAUUCCAGUUCACCUUGCCAGUGAUUGAUGUAGAGAUUGGCCAAUGACAUCUAAGAAAACGACUGCAGUGACGAAUUCUGGGAAUUAUUUUCCUGCAGUAAAAUGCAAGACGUGUGAAGGAGAAACUCCUCUUCUCCUUCCUUCUGAUGAGAGUGCUGCCCUGUGAGAACGUGAUAUGGGGUAGAUGGCAGACAUCUUGGAAGAAGGAAAGAAAGGCCAACGGAAGCACAGGGAUUGCAAACCACUGCCCUGAUACCAAAAAGCCUCUGAAUCAACCCUGGAACUGGGAGGUGGAGAGUUAUUUAUUUUUGUAAAUAACUCUUAGCUUUUCCAUAACUCUUAGCUUGUCUAUAACUCACAGAUAAUAGCAUCUUAACUGAUAAUACUGAUAUGAUCUCAAGAGUAUGUUCUAUAAACAAAAGUGUUGCGUAGUCAGCUGAGUUAGAAAAACGUUGUAUAUUAUAUCCAACUCUUUGUAUUUCAUUUUUGCAAAUUAAAGGCUAUGAGAAGACCUGCAGUUAAAAAAUAAAAACUGUUUAGCUUUUUUUAACAUGGUAUUUCCUAAAAUUAAUCAUAUGAUCAUUUUAAAGACUCCUUAAUAUCUUCAAGAUAUUAAGCACUUCACAGUGUCUGUUUUGGAAAAAUUAAUUUAGGCUUCGUGAGAAAAAGAAAGGAGAUCCUAACACCAAGUAUUGGAUACGCCAAUUCCUACACAGCCUCGAUGGGGCACAAAACAGAAAGCGCAGCUUUAUCUUUCUAAAUCAUCUGCUAUUUCCAGGAGGCCAAGGAAAAGGAAUAAAUUUGACAACUAUCCACUUAUAUCCCUGAAUUCUGACAACAGAAUGCACUAAUGAAGGACCCUCGACAUGAUAACACGGCCACAGUCCAGUCAUCCUGGAUAGCAAAUCUGGAAAUGCAUUUUGACUGCUGCACUUAGGACACAUUUUUAUUGUGGCUUGCAGACAGUUACCCUUCAACGAUGUGGUAACUAAACAGAUUUCUAAUUUUCUUCCACUCUCUUUCUAAGAAAGCAAAAUGAGAUUGAGGAAAAUGCAUUUCAUUGAGAUGGACAGGAUGAACCAGUAAUUCAGACUACAGGAAAAAAGCAGUAAGACAGUUCAGAAAAGCUUAAAAAUCUUGAAGUCUGUUCCAUGAAGGAAAGGGUCACAACGAAUGUCGGCACAGGUACUUGGAGGAAAGUGGGUAGAGAGGGCCAUACUGAGAUACUGCAUAAAACAAAUAUGCAUAAAAGAAACAGAAAACCUUGUCUCACUUUCUCGGUUUCAUGCACCUGGAUUCUGUUGUUUAUUUUACCCAAGUACUUCACAAACCUGAUGCCAACAGCAACUGUGAAAUGGAAGCAACUCUACAAAUUAUUGCCAUCAUGAGACUAUCAUUAGGUCUACAUAGCUCAAGCUUCACUUGGAGUUCAAUUGUGUGAUUCAGAAGCACAGCUAGGAUAAGUCAGAGACUGGAAAGGGGAAGAGGAGAGACGUGCAGGAUAUUUUUUUUUAACCAGUGAAACAACUCCCGACUUCCAGGACCAGACAAUAUACUUAAUGCACAAAACCAAUAUAUUUUAUGGCCUAAAUGAAAAAAAGUAAAGUGGAAGGUCGGGCGCUGUUCCUUUAAGAUGCUUCCAGAAUCAAAUACCACUCUUGAAAGGGCUGCCAAACAAUGUAUCCAGGUAAAGAAUGAAAAAAAUAUAUUCAGAGGAAAGGCAGGAGGAUGUGUGGAAAGCUCAGUGAGAUUAUGGAAGUGCAGUAAUUGAAUAUGACACAAGAGUCAAGUGCAAGAGGGAACUGGCUGGAGUGCAGUGGCGCAAUCUCAGCUCACUGAAACCUCCACCUCCCAGGUUCAAGUGAUUCUCCUGCCUCAGCCUCCCGAGUACCUGGGAUUCCAGGUGAGCGCCACCACACCCGGCUAAUUUUUGCAUUUGUAGCAGAGAUGGAGUUUUGCCAUGUUGGCCAGGCUGGUCUUGAACUCCUGACCUCAAAUGAUCCGCCCGCCUGGGCCUCCCAAACUGCUGGCAUUACAGGCGCAAGCCACUGCACCUGGCCUUAAUCACUUUUUGCUGAAAUAAAUUGCACACU